CCCACUAUGCUUACCAGUAAACCCAGGCAGCAUGCCCAACCCACUGCCCGCCAGAGAAUUACAAGUGAAAAACUUAAAACUCAAAGGACUUGACGGUGUCCCACAUCACCCUAGAGGAGCCUGUCCCAUAAUCGAUAACCCACGCUUAACCCGACCUGCCCUCGCAACAAACAGCCUAUAUACCGCCGCCUACGCCCACCUUAUAAGAGAGCCAACAGUGGGCUAACUAGCCACCACUAAAACGCCAGGUCAAGGUGUAGCUAACGCGCAGGAGGAGAUGGGCUACAUUUUCUACCACAUAGAAAACAACUGACAACACUAUGAAACCGUGCCAACCGGUGGAUUUAGCAGUAAGCCGCGCAAGUCUGCCCGACUGAACCCU
RNAcentral lists this ribosomal RNA (382 nucleotides) under Hemidactylus subtriedrus. RNAcentral's name for it is "partial 12S ribosomal RNA". Lineage: Eukaryota; Metazoa; Chordata; Lepidosauria; Squamata; Gekkonidae. The record is from RNAcentral.